GGGCGCCAAACUUGGUGGUUGACGCCAAGCAUCGUCGCUCGGGUCCUCUUCCUCCCCCGAGAGGACAGCUUCUCGUCGAUCGGAGACCUGGGAGGCUACCAUCUUGGUCUAGAGUUACUAUGUGAUAACUGCGGUGAGAGGCGACGGCGGGUGACCCGUCCGGCGGCGUCGAUCUCGCCUUUCUUUUCGCGAGUCCCGCCUGGCCGGCUGCAUCUCCCGAUGUGCAUAUCUAUAUAUUCUCAUGGGGGCUAGGCUGCUAGAUGUCCUUAUCUUCGUCGGUUUCGGACUUACAGGUGGGACACCAACGGCAAGCGACAAGACAUUCCUGUUAGACGAUCAUACAUCAGAUUAGUAAGUCGAGUCCUCCUAGGAUAGUGUACUGUACUUAUGUUAUUUCAACAAGAUGAACAAACAAACCACUACGCACAAGUAUAAAUAUGCAUGCACAUGGAUGCCUAGACAGAGAUCAAAUGCGCUUACAUGAAGCAUGCGAUCCAAAUACUUCCUUCUAAGCAGGGUUAAAACCAUCCAUCUUUUUAUCAUGCAUUGGACAUAUCCCUACCUUUGUUUUAACAUAAUUUUUUGUGACAGUGCCAUGCAUCUUUUGACUUGUCAACGCUGUUUUCAGGUCAAACUGGCAAAACUGUCAACACUCGGUUUUGAGAACCAGGCCAAGAACCAUCUUGCCCGCCUCGCAAGUCGGAAGGCAUGGCGCCUAUGUUGACGCGUGCCUGACCUUCGAAUAUUUUCCCAGGCCACUUAACUUGAACUUGAGAUCGUCAUACUCCUUGACUUGGCUAACAUCGUCUUGAUCAUCACCACAGCAUGUUUUGUUGACGCCAAGCCUCCAGCUUCCCCAUCGCCACCGCAUGGUACUUUGCAACCAAGUUUUGCUCGCGUUUGACCACUCGUGGUAGUUAAUCACCAUGUCGCAUUCAUACAUUUACAUAUCAUAGGCCAAGAGACAUGUUUUUCCAACACGUACAUUUUCUAUAACUAAAGCAUAGUCAUACACACACACACACAACAUGUUAUGCACACCAAAGCUUUAAACCUCUUGACACAUCUGUCGAUCAUUCGUCACGAGUAGAGUAGACCGAGUCACAUUUUUUCUUGAUCUCUCAUAGUCAUGCAGAAACAACACAGGCGCUUGGAAGAAAGCAAAUAAAAGGGCCACGUGUUCUAGUGGUUACAUGGCCACCGUGCGAUGGUUUCAUUAGAAAUGCGCAUGCGAAAUGUAGGAUUAUUGUAGUAGGAUUUGUGGGAAAUCAGAGCAACGUCGUACGUCUGUCCAAUUUGGUCGCUCUCCGAUAUGUGUUGAAUCUCUCCAUCCGGCCGGGGUAAUGAAUAAAAUCAUUGUUGCACAGUACUGCAGCCGUGCCGUGGGCUGGACCGGGCCGCAGGAAAGCGCAAGGAGGCUGCGGCACUUGGCGCGGCUACAGCUCGACCUCGACGUGACGUAGCUGCCUGCCCACUGCCAACGUCGUCAGAGGUCAGAGACCCGUAUGGGUUUGAAAGAGCGCUCGAUCGAGUAGCUACACGGUCUCCAAGGUUGGAGUUGAUGCUCCGAUCCCUUUCCCGAUGAUACGGCGUGACUGUAUCGGAGGGCGUGUGGGAUACGAACCAGCAUAGAUGGGUCGUAUACUAGCAUAAAUACGCGCUCAGUUCAGGCGGUGCGGCAAAGGAAACCUCAACCUACUAGCUGCUGAAGAAGAUCAGAUACCGGCCGGCCAUGGAUCGCCCUCUGGAGCGAGCUACCCCGGCGACUGUCAUGGUCGCCUUGCUGUUCCUGCUAGCUUGCCACGGUUCGUGAGGCGUCCUUGUUGCUCUCGUGCCAUUUCCAUUCAUGAUGCUAAUAAUCUCUCUCGAUCUGUUGGUUGCAUAUGAUGGCUAACCAAACAAAGCUACUUGCAUUGCUGACCAACGGUCACCAGCUGGAGUCAUUUCCGGCGGCGAGCCUCCACAUUCCUCGGCGGCGGUGAAGCAUCGUGAGAUGGUUCAAGCCCGCAAGAUACUCAACAGCAAUGCGACCAGUAAGAACGAACUCUGCUGCCGAUCUAGUUCGCCAAACAUCAGGGUAGUGUUCCACUCACCACUGCUUCGUGUGCGCAUGUGUGUUGAUCGAUCGACCAGCCGGAGGCGACCCGCGCGGCGUUGCUGCUGCCACGGUACACUACACGGCGGAGCGGCCGGCCACCACGGCGCUGGGUGACUGCUCGGAGGAGGUCGUGCAGGUGUCCCAGGUCGAUGCAGGCCUGCUGCCGAACGGCAUCCCCUCCUACAGCGUGACCAUCACCAACACGUGCCUUGACUGCACGGUGCGCGACGUCCACGUCUCCUGCGGCGAGUUCGCCUCCACGGAGCUCGUCGACCCUAGCAGCUUUCAACGCCUUGCGUACGGGGACUGCCUCGUCAGGGACGGCGGGCCUAUUGGCCCCGGCGAGACGGUCUCAUUCGAGUACUCCAAUUCCUUGAUUUACAGCAUGGAUGUAGCGUCGGUCUCAUGUGGCGAUAUUUAGGCUCUGCGUUGUGGUGUGUUAGUGUGUGUAUGUCUUGGCAACACCAUCUUUCUUAGUUUGGUGUUGGCAAAUAAAAGUAUCAGUGUAGUCUAUUAGUUCUUUUCAGUAACGCCUUUGGGUUUGUUAAGAACUUGGAUGAUGAACUGUGUGAGAUUGGUUUUGAUUACCCUUAGCGAAGUGACUCAAAUCACAAGCUCAACUAGUUUCCUCGCGAGCGUUUCCCAAGUGGCUUGGUUAUUUGUUAUUUGAACUCUGGAGGUCUUGUUUCAUGACAAAUUUAUAGUUGACCUUUAAUUUACAUUUCACAUACAAAUAAAGUACAUGACGGUUGAUGUGCAAUCAACGGAAUCAUGUAGGUAAGAAUUCGAAUGAGUAGGUGAACCCAUGCAUGCGUAUCCUGCUGUUAGCGGUUUUGCUUGACUACAACUGUACUUCUAAGUGAUGGUUAAUAUUGGUGUUAAAAUUUAUUAGCCUAGGCUUUGGUAAUUUGCAUUGGGGUUAAUUGCGGUGCAUGUUGCCCAAGUUACAAGGAGAUCGAGUAAAAUGCAUGUCAUUUGUGCGACGUGAGUAAUCGACGUCUUAUACUUUAUGCACUUUUACGUUAGACACAGCUAACGCAUGAACAAAAAGUGAAAAAAAUGCAUAUGCUCAAGUGAAAAUUCAGAUCUAGGAAACCAAAGAAAACCAAUGUCAACUUGCAAAUUAGCCCCUAGAUCUACGAUUUAAUUGCGCAAAGGUCCCUGGAUUUCUCCCAUAACCCCCUAUCUUUUCUCUUUCUUCUCCACUCAACUCCCUCACGCACAGAUAGACAGCCACGGUACAGAACCGAACCAAAGCCGGCCAUGGCCUUGGGCCGAAGGUGGGGGAAAGAGAAGAGGCAGCUUACGGAGGGAGAGGGGCGGCACAUGGGGUGAAGGAGGGGCUCACCGUGGACGGGGUCGCCCGGCGAGGAAGGGAGCCCGGGAAGCGGCAAAACGGAUGCGCUACGUCGAGGGGAAGGUGUGGCUGCAAGGAAUCGAGCCGGGAGCUCACCACGGCGAUGAAUUUGGCCGGUGAAGAUGGGGAUUUUGGAGCUUUGGGGGUGCUGUAAUGGUGGGAGGAGGUGGUGCGGUUUGGGGGAGGCCGGUGCUGCUUAUAUAGCCGGGGCGAGGCGAGGAUAAGAACGGGUGGAGUGACAUACCCCUGAGCGCAGCCAUUGGAGGGGAGGGGAGCUCCGGUGGGCACCGACCAUGUGGCGGCCAUGGCGGGUGCACGGAAGCUCGCCCAAUGGAGCGCGAGGAGUGGCGUGGGGAGGAAGGGAGAGCACAUGGGAGAUGCUUGAGGGACCUAUGGGUGGAGAGGGGCCUGCUGGUGCGGUCAGAGGUGCCCAAUGGCCAUCCUCGGCAUCUGUGCUGACCAAGGGGAGGCGUGCAGGUGGCGUGAGGUGUUGGAGGAAGGAGAUGACGAGUGGGCCCGCGACAUUUUUCACUAUUAAAUGUUUCCCUUGUUUGACAUAGCUAUAGGUGUUCAAAAAUUACCCAAAAAUACUCGUUGAAAAGAUAAAAUCAUCAAGAAUCCAACACAAUAGGAAUAAACUCCAAAGCUAUUAUGGUUUGCACACAAUUGACAAAACAAAAUAGCUAAAAUUGAACUUUAAAUGAAUUUUUAACCUAAGCAAACAUCUCUAAAAAAUUUUGUAAAAAUAUUUUAAAAUCAUUAAAUGGUGUCUAAUAUUUGAAUAAAAUAUUUGGGGUACAGUUGUGUGGCAAAUUUGGGAUUUAUUCACAAUUUGAAUUUUUUAACAAUAAACAGUAAUUGUGUAAAUUUAACAAUGCAUAACUUCUACUCGAUUUUUAACAUAUUAUCCUCAAAAUUAGAAAGAGUGCUAAUAACAAAAGUUAUUUUUUUAAAAAAUUUCUACAACUUUAUAUUGACCAAAAUUUGAGUUGUUAUAUGAAAUUUGAUUUUCCACUGUUACCCCUUUUUAGUGCUUUGGAGGCAUUUUCCAACACUUAGGGAAUUUGAAUGACUUUUGAGUUUGGCACUUUGCAAUUUGGUUUGUUUCUAGUUUUUCCCUUAAUUUCUCUUAUUUUUACCCUUUGACUCUCGUCUCGCCCCUUUUUGAAUUUGCAUUCCCCUUCCGGGGUGUUUUCAACACUCGGACAAUUAAAGCGCAUCAGAAUUUGACAAGUGGCAAUUUUGAGUUUAGGGGUGAUUUGUUUGAUUAAACACUUUUGAUUAUUAUUGCUUGGCUUGGUAAUACUAGGGAUGUUACAAUGGCAUUCGCCAGAGCAAUUUCCCCAUCAAGAUCAAAGGUUGAGCUCGAGUUGGUGGAGGAAAGAGGCCUUUGCUAGGCAUGGUGGUGAGCCGAGGUUUCUGGUGUGGAUCUUGGUGGACUUGAUGGAGGUGAGAGUGGAGUGACUUCUCUCAUUGAAAGAUUGGGAUUCAACCCCAACGGGUUCACAUCAGUUUGAUUCUUCACUUUAUCAACUUCUAUCCCUAUCUCUGAGAUGAUAUGCCCUAGCACUAUUCCUUGCUUCACUAUAAUGUGGUACUUCUCCCAGUUUAGGACUAGAUCAACUUCUCCAUAUCAUUUAAGAACUUUACCGAGAUUCUCCAAGCAAUUAUAGAAACUAGUGCCAUGUACUGAGAAGUCAUCCAUAAAUACCUCCAUAAUAUUUUUAAUAAAAUCCGAAAAUAUAGCCAUCAUGCAGUGUCGAAAUGAUGUGGGCACAUUGCAUAGACCAAAAGGCAUUAUUCUAUAAUUGAUCACCUUUCUUCAGUGUGGAAUUAGCUCAUUCUUCUCAUUUGUCACAACAGUCAAUCCUCCUUUCUUCACCACGCAAUGCACUGGGCUCACCCAUUCACUGUGUGGUACUGGAUAGAUUAUUCCAGCAUUAAGCAAUUUGAUCACCUCCUUCUUUACUACAUUGCGCAUAGCAUGGCUCAAUUUUCUCUGGUUCUCCACAACUGGUUUGUAUUGAUCUUCUAAUUGUAUUCGAUGAGUGCAGAAGGCUAGAUUGAUUCCUUCCAAGUCUUUGAUCGUAUAUCCAAUCACUUUCUGAUGUUUUCUUAAUAAAUUCAGUAGCUUCUCAAUUUCUUCCUUGCUCAACUUGUCGCUAACAAUGACUAGAUACGUCUUGUUGUUCCCCAAAUAUUCAUAUUUUAAUCCCUUGGGUAAUGGCUUCUGCUCAACAUCUGGUGCUUCGGGCUCUUGCUGCUCUAAAUCUCUAAUGUCUUCAAAUUUUUCUGCUUUCGAAGUUUCAUAUUGCAGUGAUAAUGCUUCGGUUACUUCUCCCAGCUCAUCAUCUUCACCAUCCUCAUUGUUUUCCAUCGCUCUUAGUAGAGGAUCCCUGAAAUUUUCAGCAAAGUAUACACUCUCUACUUCCUCAUUAUCAGAAAGUAGAGGCAGGAUUUGUCGAGAAGCACGCAGAAAAUUACAAGUGUAUUUAGCACCAUUAAGAUUAAUCAUUACUUUGCCCUUCCCAGCAUCAAGCACAACAUUAACCAACUUAAGAAAAGGUCUACCAAGGAUAAUAUCAUCAUGUUCAUCAUGGCAAGCAUCAAUAACAAAGAAGUCGGCUGGUAUAACUUUUCCCGAGAUAGUAAUAUCUAGAUCUCUAAGCACACCUAGAGGUUUGGUUGUUCUACCAUCUCCCAUGAUUAAAUUUAUCGGGGUUAGAGCAAACUGUAAAGUUUUAUUAUAAAGCUCAUGAUAAAGUUUUGAAGACAUAACACUUACAUGUGCUCCAAUAUCGCAAAACACUUUGUAGACAAUCUCUCCAUUAAUCAUGCAAUUGGUAUGUGGUGUAGGCAAAGAUUCUCCUUCAUCUUGAUCAGCCCCAAUCGCAUAUACUUUUCCCAGUCUAGCAAAUGGUGAUGCCUCCGGCUUCACUCCCAUGAUUCUCUUCACCUUGGUGACAUAGUCUGGAACUACUUCUUCUUCAUUACAGAGUUUUUGAAUUAUCUCUCCAGUUGUUUCCUUGCAAGGACAUAGCUAGUGUUUCUCUCUGGUGGAAAAUCUGUCUCAACAGCUCUAGCCGACCCCUUUUGAUUUGGAUAUGGUCUAUGCUUAUCAAAUAUUUCACUGAAGUCAAUAGAAAUCCAAUCCAUUUGUUCAAACUCCGCAGGGGCUUCGCAUUCGCUAGGUUUCGAGCUUCAGAUGUUUCUUGUUUGUCAUAUUUGAUGCACCGAGUAGCUGUUGUUGUACGAGAAAUCGGCUAUUGAUAGACACUUGUCCCAGUUCUUGUCAUAAUGAAUGACACAGGCUCGUAGCAUAUCCUCUAAAAUAUGAUUUACCCUCUCUGUUUGCCCAUCUGUCUGAGGGUGGCAUGUUGAACUAUGGAUUAGCUUGGUGCCAAGUGUAGCGUGCAGCUGCUCCUAAAAACGUGCUACAAAUUGGGUGCCUCGAUCGGAGAUGAUCAUCUUGGGCACUCCAUGUAAGGAAACGAUACGGUCUAGGUAUAGCUCCGCAUAUGUCUGAGUAGGUUGUUCUUACUGGGAGAAAGUGGGCCAUCUUAGUGAGUCUAUCCACUAUGAGCCAUAUGGAAUCGUGCCUCUGGGAAGUGUUGGGUAACCCAACGAUGAAGUCUAUGAUGAUAUCUUCCCAUUUCCAUGAGGGUAUGGGUAGUAGUUGAAGUGUACAUGCUACCUUCAAGUGGCUUGCUUUCACUCUCUGACAUGUAUCACAUUCUAACACAUAUUUAGCAAUCUCUGGCUUCAUCCCAGACCACCAGAAAUUUUGUCGGAGGUCGUGGUACAUUUUGGUGCUGCCAGGGUGAAUAGAGAAUUUAGAAAGGUGUGCUUCAUCAAAAAUCUGCUUCCUAAGAUCGGGAUUGGCGGGAACAACCAAUUGGUCCUCGUACCAUACUACUCCCUUCCAAUCCUAUCGUAAAUCCUUGUAUUCCUCUGUUGACGCCAGAUUUUGACACGUAUUUUGAAUCGGCGUCAGAGAAGGAAAAGAUUGGCCAAUGUGGCGGAUUAAAAGCUGCAGUUGGGAAUCGACCGAUUGGUGGUACAGUGUAUCGGCCGAUUGGCAAAUGAAGUUGAUAAAGGUCGGCCAAUUGGAAGGUUGGGGCAGCUGGGCCAACAUGGGCUUAAGGUCAUCUUGGAGGAGGGUCCAUAUGCUCUCAAGUUUGGCACGAACGUCAUUAGGGAUUGAACUCAGUGCGACUUGGCGUGAGGCAACCUCUUCAUCAUCAGAAAGUGCAACCGCAAAGGAAAAGAGACUAUUGUUGGGGGUGUCUUGCUCCUGAGAAAGAAUAAAAAAUAAAAAUACAGAUUAGCUGAUGGUAAUAGGAAAUCGGCCGAUUUGGGUGUCAAGUUUUCUUACCUCUUUAAAGAGGAUUUCUUCUGCUUGCGCCGGUGGGAGUGCUACCCUCGUCUUGGGAACUGACGCGGCUGGUUCAUCGGAGGAAGAGGAUUCAACGAUUAUCGGUGCCGUGCUCAGGCCAGGUUCCCUGAAAAGAUCAAGAAAUGGAUCUCUAUAAGUAUGAGGCAAAUGAUUAAGUCUAAUCAUAUAUAAUGACUGCCAUACAUCGGUGAGUCGCCCGGCCGAUGGUUGUUGGAAAGGUACAAUCGAUGUGCCCAGGGUAGCCUGCAUCAAAAUCGGUUAGCUUUUGGUUAAGUGUUAAGAAAAUUGAGUUAAACAAAGACUCUCUACCUCAGUGGGAGGUAUUGCUGGCGUCCCGGUCUCUACCUGGAAUGUAGCCGAUUGCUGCGAAGAUUGCACUGGGGCGAUGUGCACAGCCUAACAGAAAGAAGAAGUUAAUACCGACAGAAUACUUAAAAGAACGCGCGGUAUACGAAGGUACCUGAACGGCUUCUACCAACAAUGAUGCAGCAGCUGCUCCAGCCUUUAUAGCAGCCUGGGGGUCGACUUCUUCGAUAAUCGGCAGAGUCGACGCAGCUAGAGAUUCAGCCGAUGCCGCCGCCGACUGAUCGGCCGAUUCUACACGGGCGCGCACCCGACGGCUCGUCUUCUUUGAGGAGGUUAUCUUUAGCUUCUGCUUCGAUCGGUCGGUGGUGAUGUCUUCGACGGUUGGGGCAUGAUAGCCGAUAAGUGGGAAUAAUGUAUAUGGAUAGCGAUUUUCUAUCGGCCUACCACUUCGGCUGCGUGUUGGAGGAAGUUGACUUUUGAACUGUAAAAGGAAAUAAAAGUUAGAAAUAAAUUCAUAAUAUAAAAGGAAUGACAUUGAAAUCGGCUGAAAAGGGAGCAGUACCACUACGUUCGGGUCGAUGUUGUCAGGAUCUAGAUCAUUGCAAUAUGUUGCGGGGGAUACACAGAAGAGGUGCUGCUUCCACUCUCCACACCAUAAUUUAAAUUGCUGGACAGCAAAAGGAGCCACCACCCAAUUGUUCAGAUCAAUGGUACUGGAAUCUGGCACUAAACUGCACAGCCGAUUAUAAUCAAGUCACUUGUGAGCUCAUCCCGGAAUUUUGCGCGGCCGGCAAAGUAAACCUGAAUCGACAACUGACCAAUGCCGAAUUGCUGUGUUGUAACUGAUGGGUUAUAAAACUCAUAAGUUGGGGAGUCCUUCCCGGAGAAGAAGUUCGCUGGUAAGAUCCCUGGUUUGAUCAAGGCGUCUAUGAGAUCAUUGUCAAAGGAAUUGGACGUCGAGUCAUAGAAAAAGGGAAGCUCACAGAGUGGUUCUGUUCUUUGGUAUGGAUACCAACUUGUGGUUUCUUCAUUAAAGCCGUUGUAGAAGCAUUAGAAAUACUCAGUUGUUUGGGUGGUGGUGAACGAGCUGCCAGGAAAGGCCGAUGCCGCCUCACAAGAAGAGGUACACCAAUGAAGCGUUCUCACAUAAGUAGAGACUAAAUGUGAUAGAAAUAUCAGUCCCAGGAGGCUGAUAACACAUUUAUUCGACAGAUAAUUCAGUUACCGUACAACUCCCGAGGCAGUGGGCAUGAGAGCCACGCAGCGAUAAGAAGUAAAUAAACAACAACGGCUAACCAAGCGACUGCCAAAAGAUAGCACUCGGGACUACACAACAGCAGCAACAUCAUCUUGGAAAGGCCAACACCACAGACAACGUUGGAUGCGGACACAACCUCUACUCAAGGUCUUCGGCGAUGAAAUCCGGGUCUUUCUCUGUAGUAAUGAAGCAAGGGUGAGUACGAACGUACUCAACAAGUCCAACCCCAUCCACGGAGGGGGAUACAAGCAAGUAUAUGCACAGGAUAUAUCAAGGAUAGGCUAGGGUUUAUUUGCAAUAAAGCUAGAUUUUCAACACAUGCAUGGGCUCGUUUUCAAACAAGUUUUCGUAAAGCUUUUCUUUAGUAACCGAAAGAUUAAGUGGGGUUGAUCCUACCCAAUAGGAUCCAAGUUUUAUCGCUAUGGACUCCCCGUCCGCCAUAGCUCACGGCACAACUGCCGGACACUUCCAAAAUCCAAUACACACACACACGUGACAUCCAUGCCCAAGUGCUAGUUAUGUGACCAAGUCAUAACUCGUCCAAUGCCGUGGACACGGCUACCCGGAUAGGUUUUAACUCUGCAGAGGUUGUACACUUUUCCCACAAGUAGGGUACCGCAGCACGAUCACCUUAGUGCCGGUGCGGAUCCUAACAAAGCCAUUACCCACCUUAGUUGAGACUAGCUAGUCCUCACGGAAGCACGCAAGGGGUUCACGGCUCAUCCAUGAGACCGUAACCGGGACCUAAGUCACCAAGAUCUUACUCCUUUUCCAUGGGCUCCCGUUGCUCACCAGCACCCCUGAAGACUAACAGUUUAGCUAGUGGGAUUUAUGCUAAGCCGUUGCCCAUACAACGGUCGAGUGGUUGCACGAUGGUGGAAUUAGGCAAGAUGACACAUCAACUCGGUCCUUAACCAUGACAAGAUGGAUAGCUCCCGACAUUGCUCAACCACUAAGGUACGAGCACAAUAUUCAGGCAUUUCACACAAGAAACACCCAUCCAUCUCAUCUACACAUUCCUUGCCUUUGAACCUGAAAACCCAUUUUCCCAUUUGAACGCACUCACGCAUUUAUUCUCCAAAUAAACCAUUGUAAUUAUGAUUGAAGUUGAGCAACGAAAUCCUAAGCAUGCUAGCAGUAGUUAUCAUCUAAACAGAGCAAAUCAUAUUUAGAGAUAACAUAGGACAACAAGGAAUGUUCAUAACAAUGAAGGGGUGGCUAUCCAACCAUGUCUUGCAAUAAAACAAUAUGCAUUUUAUAAAACAUGCCAAUAGGUUGUGUUUGAAAAACUAGGUGUUAAGUAUGCAUCAAAGGGUGAGAUUAGACUUGCCGUCUUCAAAGCCUUCCGGGAGUUUCGGCUCGUGCUGUUGGUCCUCAGGCUCGGGCUCGUGGUCAAACUCCUCCUCGGGCUCCUCCUCGGGUAAUCCGCAAUCUACGGCACACACAAACGGACACACAAAUAAAUAAAAGAAAAUCGGUUUUUAUCCGCUGAGCUCCGAACAGAAAAUGCAGACGGAAAAUAGGUAGAAGAAAUAUUUUUGGGAAAUUUGGAUAUGGAUCGGCGGAAGUAUUCUAGAGGAUGACGUGGUAAAAUUUGGGGUUAAAUGGAGGAAGUUUGGCGCAUGAAAUGACGAGUUAAACAUGAAUUAGGGGCUUAAAAAGGAGGGUUAGGACUAUUUUGCGAUAAACCAGGGACCUUUUCAUAAUUAUUUCUGGAGGUGGAGGGGUUUAUCCGAAAGAAGUGCUCGAGAGGGGUGGAAGGGCCUAUUUGUAAUUUGGUGAAAGUUGGGGGUUAGAUCGGAAAGGAGGGGCUUCUUCUUCCUUUCUUUCUGCACCGUAUCAGAGGAGGUGGAGGGGAGGGGCGGCCGGCCCGGGGGCGGCGGCCUGGGCUCGCCGGCGGCGAGGGGAAGCGGCGGGGGAGGGUAGAGGAGGCCGUGGAGGCCCCAUUUUGCUCCUUACUCUGGGGAUUUGGGAAGGGAGGGAGGUGUGGCCGGCAGGAACUUCGGGCAGCGGCGCACGGGCGGUGGCGGCGACGGCGGAAGUUGGCGCAGGUGGCUGGGAGAUGGAGUGCGGUGGGUUGUGACGGUGGUGGCUGGGGCGUUGCCCCUUUUUAUAGGCUGGCGGUAGGGGACCGGGCGGCCGGCGGGAUGGCUUGGCGGCACGGCACCGGUGGCGUGCCGGGGCGGGGAGGUAGUGGCCGACGGCGGUCGGCGUGGCGCGGGGUCGAAGGCGGGGAGGUAGGUGCCGGCGGCGGCGACGUGGAGGUGGGCGUUGGAAGGGGCCGGCGGGCGGCGCGCCGGCGCGCUGGGGCCGGCGAGGUCGGGCCGGAAAGGGGCCGGCGCCGGACGCAGGCACGGGGCCCGAGUCGCGCGGGGGCCAGGGCGGCCAGGCGCCAGAGCAGCCGAGGCGGCCGGGGGAGUAAAAGCCCCGGGGGGGGGUCUGGGUAGGGGGUGGCGUUGGGGUUGACCGGGGGGAGUGGCGCCAUGAAGAAGAAGGAAGGAGGAGAGAGAGGAAGGAAGGAAGAAGAAAGAAGAAGAAGAAAGGAAAAAGGAAAAAGAAAAAGAAAAGGGGAGGGGAAAAGGAGAAAGAAAAAGAGGGGGACCGGCGGCGGACAAUACGGGCAUGGAUAAAAUGAUGGAGGUCGGCUUGGAUGCCGGGACGACAAAAUCGCCGGGAAGAUUUUUGAUUUCCGGGAGCUCAGCGGUAGAAAGAUUUUAAAAACGAUUUUUAACGGGUGAUUUUAGGUUGGUGAUUUUGCGGAUGUUACAACCAACGACGGACUGUAGGAUCUUCCUCUGAUUCAAUGUUUGGGAAUGUUUUGGUCUAUAUCUGCUGUUGGAAGACCUUGCUGAUAUACAAGUUGAGCCAGAGGGUAAUGAACCACCAGGGACCACCUGGAUUACCAAUUGGCUCUCCGUUUGACAAUUUAACAGCAAUCUGGUGCAUCAUGUGGUAGGCCGAUCCUAAUAGGUGUUUCCCUAGAGGGACGAUGGAUCCUCUUGCCAGGGCUUCGGCCAGAGCUUGUGUGUUAGAAGAAGGGCCGACUGCUCUGCCACAAAAAAGGUGCUUCUCUAGCCACAUCAUUAAGAAGGCUGCAUAUUCUCUCUCUAAAAUCGUCCUGGUCCUCAUGUUUUUAUUGAUAUACCCCUUCCACCCGCUGAUUCCUUUCAUCUCGAGCCGAUGGGUUGGCUUGAUCAGAUAAUUAAAAGGGGUAUCAGGGGAAAAAAUGUCGAGACCAGUCAGCAUCAAAACAUCUGCCAGAGUCGGGGUCAUAGGUCCGUGCCCAAAGAGAAACGCAUUGAGCGCAUCAGACCAGAAAUAAGAGGCUGCUAUCACCAGGGGUUCAUUUUUCUCCAUCUGGGAUAAGGAUAGAUUUAUGCAUUGGCCGAUUUUCAAUUUGUCCCAUUGAACUCUUUUGGAGUUGGCCAUUCUUUGAUACCAUUCUUUCCAGCCGGGAGUUUCGUUCGUCCAAGAUUUAAAUGUGCCUGCCCACUGGCUCAAAUCCAUAGGCGAUUGCUUAAAAGGGAUCCUAUGGGUUUCUAGGUUGAUCAAGUCAGUCUGGUCUGGGUUCCCCAUAGGGCCUAGACAGAUAAGACCAGGAGCGUCGGAAAGGCGGAUGGUGAUUUGCUGUCUGAUCGCUUAAAGAAGGUAAAAAAGGAAGAACUAAGAAUAGAUCUAAAAGAUGCAUGAGCGGUAAAAAGUAAAGAGGAAGGUUUCAGGUGUUUACCUCCGGAAUGAAGCUCAUGGUCGCCGUUGGAGUUGCUGGUGAAGCCUCCAUUGCUGAUGGAGUUGCCGAUGGAGCCGCCAUUGAGGGGAAAAUGAAGCGGGAUGUAGAUGAAAGGAAAGAUCACCGGAGAGGUGAGAUUGGAAGCCAAAGGGGUGCUGGGAGGAGGUAGAAGAUGAUUCGUCGGAGAGGAAGUUACUUGGCUCGUGGAGAAGAAGCGGCAGGGGACGCCAGUAUUUAAAGACGGUCCGAGAGAAGGGGUAAAGGUGGGAUUUUUACCGCGCCGUCUACACGAAUUUCGGAGGAGCGGUUGUCUCAGGCGCCCAGUUCGAAAAGAUUGCAAUCAUCAAGUAGAAGACCACGAAACAGAAGGAGAUUUUUGCCACGUUUGUUUCGGAGAAGAGAUUAAAAAAGAAUUUCGAAGCAAAAGUGAUGUUUUACUCCGAAACUGGGGGGCAUGUGUUGACGCUAGAUUUUGACACGUAUUUUGAAUCGGCGUCAGAGAAGGAAAAGAUUGGCCGAUGCGGCGGAUUAAAAGCUGCAGUUGUGAAUCGGCCGAUUGGUGCUACAGUGUAUCGGCCGAUUGGCAAAUGAAGUUGAUAAAGGUUGGCCGAUUGGAAGGUUGGGGCAGUUGGGCCAACAUGGGCUUAAGGUGGGCUAGAAAAGAACAUAAAGAGAGAUUGGCCCAUGGGGGUAUGAUAACCAACUCCGAUACAAGUUGUGUUUGUAAAUAUUUCUUUUCGUUUAAGAUUAGAGAUAGAUCCUAGUCGGUUAGGAAAUCAGUUGUAACAGGCUGUAAAUAGCCAUCUCUAGAGAUUUGUAAAACAACACAUCAAUCAAUACAAACAACUUAUUUUUUCAUCGUACUUUACUUUCAAGUCGGCGACUUCGCCAAUACAUCUUUUUCUUUCACGAGUUCGUACAAGUUGGUAGGGCUGCAUCGACACGAUCUCCGGCCGAUUCUGUAAGUUUCGUUUAUCGAGUAAUAUCUAAGCUUUAACUUUGGGCGCAUCGCUAUUUUUUCGUUUAGAUUUAUUCACAAGUUAUCGAUAUUAACUAGAAUUAUAACUUUUAUCUAUUAUUUUAGUUUUUAUCACCAGUUAUCCAGCUUGAGAUUUGAACUAUCGGCUUUAUUACUUUUCUUCUUAUUCAUCGUCAUAUAGCCGAUUAGAUCUAUUUCAAGUGUUGCAUUUGUGGCAUUGUUUAGCCUACUCUGGUAGUUUCUUUGCAAUCGCUACGCGAUUAUCGGCUGUUCUAUAGCCGGUCAUCCUCAUAGCAAAUCGGCCGAUUCGCUGAUACGCUUUUCGAGAUAGAUCGGAAUUUUAGCCGAUUGAAACCCCUGGAAUUUAAUACGUUUCUUUCCUUGUCAAUUAACAGGUCAGAUUGAUUGGCACGCCGCGCGAACCGCACCAGGGCGAUCACCCGAACAGGAGUUAAGCAGAUUCCCCCGGAUCGUGUGUCCGACGCUGAAGGUCAUCGGCCGAUUUUUAGCACCAACACCCUCAUCUUUCUGUGCCAACUUCUUCUUGAUGAGCUUUAUCUCCUUGUCCUCCAACCGUGCCAAGAUGAUUUGGUCAUCCAAGGUGGGUUCGAUAGCUAUGUGGGUCAAUGUGCCGUGAGGAAUAAUCUCUAAAUUCAGCUUCCUCAUUUCGGAACACAAAGUUUCUGCAAAAUUCUUUGCGGAUUUCUUUUCUAAAAAUUCCGGCAAGCUUAUGUUCUUGAUUUUCUUACUUUUGUGCUCCAAAUUGAUAACUAUCCCAUUCUCUGUAUAUGGCUGCUCCUUUGCUGAUCUUCUGUAACAAUUGAGCGGCCUCCCUGAGUGUUUUCUCCAUAAGAUCUGCUCCUACACAUAUUUGAACAAACUCCAGGUAUUUUUGAGUUAGUGAAAAAUAGAAUGUAUGCAACGACGCAUCACCUGAGAAUCCAAGCUUAGGUCCUUGUUCGAGUAGUCUGUUAAAUCUAUUUCAAGCUUGAUUUAUUCCUUCAUCUUUUCCUUGCACGAACAUGAUUACUUCCUUCUGAAGGUUUUGAACUUUGCUCAUCGAGAAAAAUCUCCCAUAGAACUUUGUCAUUAGUGUCUCCCAGUUCCCCUUCACAUCAAAAGAAAUUUCUGCAUACCAUCAUUUUGCUUCACCUGCAAGUAAAAACGGGAACAGAUUCCACCUGAACCAAGCUGGUGGAAUUCCUUCUUGUAGUAGUGUGUUGCAAAGUAUCAUGAAUCGCUCAAUGUGUCUGUAUGAAUUAUCAGUCUGCACUCCUUGGAAAGGAUUGCUCUUAGCCAUGUCGAUUAUUCAUUUAUUCAGAUCGUACUCCUUGGCUAAGGGCACUGAGUCGGAUUUCUGCAUGUUGAAUUGAUUGGUUAAUGGAAUUGCAUAGUUCCUCAGCGACUUUUCUCCUUCCUCCUUGUAGUGAUUGAUCAGAGCCAUCUAGACAACAUAAACAAAAUAAAGAUUUUCUUUUCUAGCGAAAAAUUUAGAUGUUAGAGGUUAACAAAAAUUAAUACAAAGUUAAACGUAGCAAAACUGACUUGUUCCUCGGCAACGGCACUAGAAAGGCUUGUUGACGGCAGUUAGCACGCCAAAUUGUGAAUCGCAAGCGCACAUAUCAGUUAUAGCUGUUCCCUUAGAGAUUCCCCUAAGAUUUAUCAAUUAAUAAGGAAUUUGCACGCUUAACUAAGCACUAAUCGAUGUAACCGAAAGCUCUUUGAAUAGGAUAUGAUUAUGCUAAUAAAAGAACUAAGCAAUAUAGAUUAGGAUGGAUAGAGAGUAAAGGUUGUGAACAAGAUAGGUUAAACGCUUAUCCUAAGGAUCUAGGAUCACUUGUAGAUACAAUCGCCAUGCAUGAACGAAUUAGAUCUAGGUGUUAUCGUGAGUGGUUGUGAACCAUACCCGACACUUUCCCACUCGCAAUACUGUCACUACAAAGGGGUGCUCAACUAUCGGAACAUAAGAACACGUCAAGAUGAUUAUUCUAGGUAAGCAAAUAAGCAACCCAAAGUAGCGCUGGCUAGCCUUUACAUGAAAGAGUAUCAUCAAGAUAUGAUUGAUAACAAAAAUAGAUCUCGACCAAAGGUUUGGUGAUUACAAAUCAAGGUCUCCAUACAACCCGGAGGACAAAAAAUAGAGGUAUUACACCAUGAUCUUACACAUGUUGACAAAUUUUGGGGUAAAGGACGCCCUCCAGAUCAACUGAACUGAAGAUGACGAUGAACGGGGGCAGGGGAGACCCAUGCCAAUCGGCCUGGACACCUCUGAGCCGAUCGGCUGGGGGUUUUCUCCUCCCCUGAUGCUCCUUUUCGAGUGGCUUCCUCUGGAUCCAAUCUUCUCUUCAUUUUUCCUACUUGUGGCGGUGGUGGAUGGUGUUUGCGUGAUGAUUUCCUCUUCUCUCCAACUCUCUUUCCUUGAAGUUCAUGAGAAGGUAUUUAUAGUCUCCAAUAGGCGGCGGCUCUAGGUCAAUGUCGGUGAAAAAAUCCUAAAGAUGAUGGUAGACUUCACUCUGAAGAAAUAGGAGGUCGACCGGACCCUAGAAUGGGCCAAGCCGAUCGGCCUAGAGGGUCCCAGGCCGAUCAGCCUGAGCCCUUCCUAGCCCUUCUGGUCCUUUCCUUCCUCGUGCUGGCUUCCCUCGAUGACCCAUGUCCAAGUAUCCAUUAAGCUCUUUAUAUAAACCUUCUUGGUUAUAUUGUAUUUCCUGCCAAAAUACAAUAUGCUCCAAAAUACAAAACAUAUGUAACAAUGGGGUUAUUUCAGGUGCCAAGUGGCGGAUUAGUAUAAAAAUAAGCAUGAAAAUACUGGUUAAAUAACACUAAAAGUGUAUCAAUAACGAGCGUCAAUAGUAGUAGUGAAUUUGUUUUAACUAUAGUUCCUGUAUGAGAACACUAGUUAUUCUUAUAUUUGUCAAAACAACUAAAAUGUUAUCGAUUGUUAAAUAUCCAUACAACCUACUAAGUGAUCGGUGACUUUCUCAUUAUUGAAGUCUGGGAGUUAGCGGGACAUAUAGUUAGAUGUGUCAUGACACACAUGUGAAGGGAGGGUAGAAUCACGAACUCACCUUCCAUGCGUCCCCUUUUAUCCCGGUUUAAAGUUGGCCCAGGACAAAAGGGAGCGCGUCACGGUAGGCUGGAAUGGAGCGAAGCUUUACUCCCGGUUGGUAUUUGCAACCGAGACUAAAGGCUCCCCUUUUUGUCACGGUUGUAAUGGCCAAAUUCCAGACGUCGGCGGCGCCUCCUUUUGUUCCGGUUGGAGCCUCCAACCAGGACAAAAGCGCCACCCUUUUGUCUCGAUUGAAGUUACCAACUGGGACAAAAAGUUUACUCUCGGUUGGUAAUUCCAACCGGGAUAAAAGGGUCGUGCUUUUGUCCUGGUUGGUGGAGCUUCCGUCAGCUUCGGCUCCGGCACUGUAGCUCCACUGUAGCACGGAGAAGCUAAAAAGUACCAGCUCCACCGAUUUCUCUUCGUUCCCAGUUUAUUUUGACCCUAGAUUAGCAAACGGCUCUUUCUAUGGUUCCUGAAAAAUAUCGCUACAAGGAUGCGUCAGGUGGAGUCGGAAAGAGCUCAGCCAAAGGGGAAGCUAAUAACCCGGACUUCCAGAAAAAGAGACGUCCAGCGAGCCCUAGUAUGAGGGGGUGUUUGGACACGAGGUACUAAACUUUAGGAAGGUCACAUCGGAUGUUCGAACGCUAAUUAGAAGGACUAAAUAUGAACUAAUUAUAAAACUAACUGCAGAACCCCUAUACUAAUUCACGAGACGAAUCUAUCAAGCUUAAUUGAUCCAUCAUUAGCAAAUGGUUAAUGUAGCACCACAUUGUCAAAUCAUGGACUAAUUAGGCUUAAUAGAUUCGUCUCGCGAAUUAGACUCUAUCUGUGCAAUUAAUUUUAUAAUUAGACUAUAUAUAAUACUUUUAAUUAGUAAAAUAUCCAAUGUGACAGGUAUUAAAGUUCAGGAGUUAGUUGCCAAACAGGACGUGAGUUGAUGCCUCCACGGGUAUGGGCCUGCUGGUCGUGUACGGUGUACCUGCACUUCACCUUGGAGUACACUUCUGCGCACGACCUUUGCUGCCGGAGCGAGGAGCCGAAAGAAAAGAAAGAAAGCAACACGCAAACCACGAUCCACGGAAAUAUUCGUAGUAGCAUCCGCCGAACAUUUGGGAAGAACGGCACCCACGGUCCACGGCUCCUCCGGUGGGUUCGGCGACGGACCCCCAACGCAAACAGUAGAGGAGGCGAGGCCGGGCAGGGCCCCCCACCAAAACCCAAGGGAACGGACGCGGACCAAAUGGAAAGUUCACGGUUUCCGCCAACACACGCCGAGUGGACGGGCCCCUUAUUCUAGACGCCGUCUCCUCCCAGCACCACCAGCAGACCGUGCGACCCGUUAAAAAACCGCGUCUCGUCUCGCGUCCUUGACCCAACGACCCGAGCCCUUUGCGUUGCGUGCGUCUAAAAAUAGCGCCCACAACGUACGCCCGGAUCGCGGCGGCAGGGGGCGGGCGCAUCGAGUAAUUUAUCAAGGCGGGCGCGCGGCGCGGGGGCAGAUCUCGCCGGCCGGGGCCAGCCAUGGGUGCUGCCGGCGCGAUCCGGCGGGCGGCGGCGUCGGCGGCCGACCGGGCGUGCGCGGGGGCGCGGGGCUUCCGCCGCGCGCUGGCCCGGUUCGCACCGCGGCCCUCGGCGUUCGUGCCCGCCGCCGACGCGGAGGCCACCGCGGUGCGCGCCGUGCGCAACCUCCGCACCUUCCGCUUCCACUACGCCUUCCUGCAGUGGGCGCUCCUGCUCGCCUCCCUCGUGCCGCGCCACCGGGCCUCGGUCGUCUUCCUCAUGGCGGCCUCCAAGGGCCUCCUCGUCUACGGGGGGCUCCUCAAGGCGUUCCCCAACUCGGCGCUGCUCCGGAGGCUCCUCGACAGCCGCCUCGUCGCCGCGGUCUUCGUCGCGCUCGUCCUCGCCGACAUCGUCGCCGCGGGCGCCGUCGCCAACCUCCUCGCCGCGCUCGCAGCGGGCGUCCCGAUCAUCGUCCUCCACGCGUCCUUCCGCGUCCGCGACGACCUCGAGGGGGCCUCCCCCGAAGCCGCGGCGGAGAACGGCAAGGAGGACGAGGCGUCGGCGGUCGUGGAGAAGAAGGAGGACGGCGACGUCGAGGCGGGGCCCACGCGGCGGUCCAUGGCGGCGGCACCAAGAUCGCCCAAAUGAGGAAUUACUAGUAACUAGUAAAAACCAUACAUUUUCAUAGAUUAAUUACGGCUCCCGUUGUCUUGGAAUAUAGGAACAAAUUCGUGGUCAAACCUGCCUUCCUGCAUGCUUCUUGAUUCAUACUGUGAGAGGAGCCUAGGAAUUUUUGGGGGAAAUUCAAUUAUUAGAAUGUAGUGGUAACUGUGACAGUGAAUGUGGAGGUUUAAGGAGACUUAUUCAUAUUCCUUAAGUACUGACAUGUCUUUGAUCAGACACACAUUUACAAGAAAUGGCUUACAGAAUGCCGAAUGCUUCAAGUUACAGUAUGCUCCACUGAUCGAUUCAGUUACUGCCACUUGUUCUAGUAUCUCCAUUUGAUCAAACAGAUUAUCGUGUUGGGGAGAAAUGGGCGCCACUGCUUCGGAACAAAGAGAUAAAAAGCCAUGGAUGAAUUCACGGCCGGUGUUGGCUGAUUCCCUAGAUCUUGGAGACGAGAGGAAGUGACGAAGAAGUGCAGCUCCCUCCAACCCAUGCGCGCCCACCUAACAAGCCAACCGACCUGCUGCUGGAAGUGCUCUUUUCACCGACAGCUGCCACGCCAAGCCACCGCAAAAGACAGGUGAAGCCUCGAAAGAGUAAGCAACUCGCCUUCCCCAGUUGUUCACUUCGCCGAUGUUGAUGCGUUGCCCGUCUCUCUGACUGGGUAGCCUUGCAGGUGAAGGGUUUGCAGUUCGCAAAAGAGACUACUCAUUCACACCGGAGAUUGAGCAAUCACAAGCUGAUCCAUCAGACGUCAUAUGCACAGGUCAAGAAAAGGCACACAUUCUGUAGAUCGUACUCAACAAUCUUAAAGCCCUUUCCCCCUCUUCUUAGGAGAGGAAGAAUCUCUCUUCAGAUAGGCACAGACAGUUAAUAUUGUUCUAGGGGAAACAUCAGCUUCCAUUUUAGAUGAUUAUGUCUGAUAGGACACUUGCAAGAAUGCGUCAGUUUCUAGGAUAAUGACUGAUGAAGGCUUUUGUAAGCAGUUAUCGGAUCUGCCUGUAAUGCAGAAGCUGUAUGUACAAUGUUCCCAGCACCAACUGCCAGUGGCCUCUUUCGUGCAAAAAAUCGCCAUCCUCCGGUCCUAGUAUCAGGAUAGAACGAGGCAUCAAAAUUGACCUUAUAGAUCUCUCUGCAGGUUGCGCUUUCCACAUGCUUCAGUUUAAAAGGAUGAAUCUGAAACUGAAAGGAACGGUAAAGGCAAACGAACCAAGCACACCGGCCUGCCCAUGAAGGCCCAUUACAGCGCCUCGUUUAACCCUCGACUUUUGGCCCACAAGGCCCAUCAGUCGAAUGAAUUCCCCGCCGAGACCGCCGGCAGCGCGACCGGCCUGCGAAUUCGGUGGGUCGUUGAGCCCACCCAGUUUCGCGAGCCCUAGGGUUAGCACGCACGACCGACGGCGUGGCUCACGCGUCGGUGUUGGGCCCUAUAUAUGAAGAGAGAGCCGUCGUCUAGGGUUUCCUCCACGGCGCCGACCAUACCAGACCAAUCCCCCAAACCGAGGAAGAACUAGCGCCCUCUCGCCGUCGCCGCAAUGGAGCACACCUUCAUCAUGAUCAAGCCCGACGGCGUCCAGAGGGGCCUCGUAAGCAACGCCUUUUCUUUGUUCUGUUCCAUUGAUUCGAUUCGAUUUGGUGAUGGGCGCUUCGGUGCUUGAAUUUGUACUUGGUAGGGUUAAGUUUAAUCAGUUUUUCUUCCCCUUUUUUCUCAGAUUGGUGAGAUCAUCAGCCGCUUUGAGAAGAAGGGCUUCUACCUCAAGGGUAAUCUAGCGCCCAUCCUUUCAUUUAAGCUUGUGUUAGAUUCUGGAAUCGCCGAUAAUUUCUUUAAGUGAAAAAUUUGAAGCUUAUAACUGAAGCAUGUGGCUUUGUACUGAAAUUUUACUGUUUGGGUACAAAUCAGUUGUUACUUUACCUAAAUCUGUGAUAAAAUUAGAUUGUUGGUUUAGCGUAAUUAAGUGUUUUUUAUCUGACGACUUUUUGUAAGUAAUGUUUGCCUGCUGAAUUGCUGUUCUGUUAUCUGAAUGCAGCCUUAAAGCUUGUGAACGUGGAGAGGUGCUUCGCUGAGAAGCACUACUCUGAUCUGUCCGCCAAGCCCUUCUUCCAGGGCCUUGUGGACUACAUCAUCUCUGGCCCUGUGGUUGCCAUGGUCUGGGAGGGCAAGAGCGUUGUCACAACUGGCCGCAAGAUCAUCGGUGCCACCAACCCCCUGGCUUCCGAGCCUGGCACCAUCCGUGGUGACUUUGCUGUCGACAUUGGCAGGUCAGAUCUCAAUCUGAUUUCUAUCUCUGGUUUCUAGUCACCAUUAUGCAUCUCUGUGGUGCAAUUAUUAUGCUUGGUUGCUUGUGCUGUUUGUAAGUGUUACAAAUACUCUCUCCGUUCCAAAUUGUAGGUUAUUCCAACUUUCUUGGAGCGUUAAACUAUUUUAUGUUUGACCAAAAUUAUAGAGAUGAUUACAAAGAUUUAUGGCACCGAAUAGAUAUACUAUGAAAAUAUAUUUAAUGAAGAAUCUAAUAGUACUUAUUUGGUAUAAUAAAUGGUAAUACUUUAUUGUAUAAAUUUGGUCAAACUUGAGAUGCUUUGACUUUCCAAGAAAGUUGGAAUGACUUACAAUUUGGAUUGGAAUGGAGAGAGUAGCUGCGAAAUUCAAUAGGAGCUGCCAUAUCAUGUAAAUAAUGCUCACUGUGAGAUCCUUCAUAGUACUGUAAUAUCCUGAAAUUGCUCUAUUUCAUAGUUAUGCUAAAAUGUUUUGCCAGACUUGUUAAGCUAUUGGAUUUGUCAAGAGAAACAGUUGUUUGUUUUGUGUAGUCAAGUUAGAUAAGAUCUGUAUAGAUUUGAGAAAGUAUUUAGCAUGGUGGGCUCCCAGAUUGUUAGUUCGGUUCUAGCUUGGGGCAUUGAAAUCAUAUCUGAGGCCGUCUCAUGAUUGCAACAGGUACUUCCAACUGUCUUAAUGUUUGCAUCAUGACAUGUUGCAUCCAACUCAUGGGGCCAUCUGGUAAAGCGAGUGGCAUCUGGUCUCCUGAGUUUACAUUUGUUCUGAAUCUGAUGUGGAGUCCACAAAAACUUUAGACAUCAAUAGAUUCAUGUGAUGUACUUUCUUGAUGAAAUGUGGGGGCUUGACUCUGAUAUCCAUUUAACCUUGUAUUAGCGAUGAAUAGUUGUGGGUACUGUAUCUGGUUCUGGUUAGUUGUAUGAGGGUGCAGGUAUGUCAAUGGAAAUGAAGAUAAUAUUUUUAAGGACAGAUUGCAUGCAUUGAUCCUUGUUUUAUUGACCAAUUUAUGCACUAUAUUAAUUGAAUUAGUCCUCAAGACCCAAUUAGCAAAUGUAGUGUCAGAUCUUUUGGAUUAUUAUGUUUGUUGUCUCUAAUUUACUAUGGUGCUGAAUUCUAAUAAAACGUCACUUUGUGCUAUCCAGGAAUGUCAUUCAUGGAAGUGACAGCAUUGAGAGUGCUACCAAGGAGAUUGCCCUGUGGUUCCCCGAGGGCCUCGCCAACUGGCAGAGCAGCCAGCACCCCUGGAUCUAUGAGAAGUAAACCGUGUCGCUUCACUCCAAACCUCAAGAGCCUGAGAGCGUGGCACCAGCCCUACUUUAGUAAUAUUUAGAGUUCCAGGAAAUUAUUAUCUGUAUCGUUGA
Molecule: long non-coding RNA, 22966 nt
Filed under: Setaria viridis
Lineage: Eukaryota; Viridiplantae; Streptophyta; Magnoliopsida; Poales; Poaceae
Description: long non-coding RNA (SVIR_LNC011078)
Source: RNAcentral